This is a long non-coding RNA of Rhipicephalus microplus (southern cattle tick), 282 nucleotides long. The record is from RefSeq and is a predicted model, not a curated record. Lineage: Eukaryota; Metazoa; Arthropoda; Arachnida; Ixodida; Ixodidae.
AAAAAACAUGAUACCCACAGUGGAACUGCCAUUAUGCCAUCUUGAGCAAGUUGCGAUGAUGUUAUGACGUAAUGAACAGGACGAGUAAAGUGAGGGUUGAUCAUCAUUUAUUGAAGGCGUAUGUCUAUUCAGAAGGAAGCGCAAAGAAGAAUAUUGUGUGACAAUAACUAUUUGAACAAGCAUCAGUAUUAAAAAACAAUCAAUAAGAGGCAUCUGUCAGAGUGUGUGUGAGAUAAUAUUGCCUAUACAAAAUAAAAGACGCUAGUAAGCUACGUUUUCAAA